GUUAUAUGGUCAAGUGAAGAAGCGCAUACGGUGGAUGCCUUGGCAGUCAGAGGCGAUGAAAGACGUGGUAGCCUGCGAAAAGCUUCGGGGAGUCGGCAAACAGACUGUGAUCCGGAGAUGUCUGAAUGGGGGAACCCAGCCAUCAUAAGAUGGUUAUCUUGUACUGAAUACAUAGGUGCAAGAUCGGCAAACAGACUGUGAUCCGGAGAUGUCUGAAUGGGGGAACCCAGCCAUCAUAAGAUGGUUAUCUUGUACUGAAUACAUAGGUGCAAGAGGCGAACCAGGGGAACUGAAACAUCUAAGUACCCUGAGGAAAAGAAAUCAACCGAGAUUCCCUUAGUAGUGGCGAGCGAACGGGGUGCGAACCAGGGGAACUGAAACAUCUAAGUACCCUGAGGAAAAGAAAUCAACCGAGAUUCCCUUAGUAGUGGCGAGCGAACGGGGACCAGCCCUUAAGUUGUAUUGAGAUUAGCGGAACGUUCUGGAAAGGACGGCCAUAGUGGGUGAUAGCCCUGUACGCGAAAAUCCCUUUGCAAUGAAAUCGAGUAGGACGGGGCACGAGAAACCUUGUCUGAAUAUGGGGGGACCAUCCUCCAAGGCUAAAUACUACUGACUGACCGAUAGUGAACCAGUACCGUGAGGGAAAGGCGAAAAGAACCGCGGAGAGCGGAGUGAAAUAGAUCCUGAAACCGUAUGCGUACAAGCAGUGGGAGCCCACUUUGUUGGGUGACUGCGUACCUUUUGUAUAAUGGGUCAGCGACUUAUUUUCAGUGGCGAGCUUAACCGAAUAGGGGAGGCGUAGCGAAAGCGAGUCUUAAUAGGGCGUCUAGUCGCUGGGAAUAGACCCGAAACCGGGCGAUCUAUCCAUGGGCAGGUUGAAGGUUGGGUAACACUAACUGGAGGACCGAACCGACUACCGUUGAAAAGUUAGCGGAUGACCUGUGGAUCGGAGUGAAAGGCUAAUCAAGCUCGGAGAUAGCUGGUUCUCCUCGAAAGCUAUUUAGGUAGCGCCUCAUGUAUCACUGUAGGGGGUAGAGCACUGUUUCGGCUAGGGGGUCAUCCCGACUUACCAAACCGAUGCAAACUCCGAAUACCUACAAGUGCCGAGCAUGGGAGACACACGGCGGGUGCUAACGUCCGUCGUGAAAAGGGAAACAACCCAGACCGUCAGCUAAGGUCCCAAAGUCAUGGUUAAGUGGGAAACGAUGUGGGAAGGCUUAGACAGCUAGGAGGUUGGCUUAGAAGCAGCCACCCUUUAAAGAAAGCGUAAUAGCUCACUAGUCGAGUCGGCCUGCGCGGAAGAUGUAACGGGGCUCAAACCAUGCACCGAAGCUACGGGUAUCAUCUUAGGAUGAUGCGGUAGAGGAGCGUUCUGUAAGCCUGUGAAGGUGAGUUGAGAAGCUUGCUGGAGGUAUCAGAAGUGCGAAUGCUGACAUGAGUAACGACAAUGGGUGUGAAAAACACCCACGCCGAAAGACCAAGGUUUCCUGCGCAACGUUAAUCGACGCAGGGUUAGUCGGUCCCUAAGGCGAGGCUGAAAAGCGUAGUCGAUGGAAAACAGGUUAAUAUUCCUGUACUUCUGGUUAUUGCGAUGGAGGGACGGAGAAGGCUAGGCCAGCCUGGCGUUGGUUGUCCAGGUUUAAGGUGGUAGGCUGAGAUCUUAGGUAAAUCCGGGAUCUGAAGGCCGAGAGCUGAUGACGAGUGUUCUUUAGAACACGAAGUGGUUGAUGCCAUGCUUCCAAGAAAAGCUUCUAAGCUUCAGGUAACCAGGAACCGUACCCCAAACCGACACAGGUGGUUGGGUAGAGAAUACCAAGGCGCUUGAGAGAACUCGGGUGAAGGAACUAGGCAAAAUGGCACCGUAACUUCGGGAGAAGGUGCGCCGGUGAGGGUGAAGCAUUUACUGCGUAAGCCCACGCCGGUCGAAGAUACCAGGCCGCUGCGACUGUUUAUUAAAAACACAGCACUCUGCAAACACGAAAGUGGACGUAUAGGGUGUGACGCCUGCCCGGUGCCGGAAGGUUAAUUGAUGGGGUUAGCGCAAGCGAAGCUCUUGAUCGAAGCCCCGGUAAACGGCGGCCGUAACUAUAACGGUCCUAAGGUAGCGAAAUUCCUUGUCGGGUAAGUUCCGACCUGCACGAAUGGCGUAACGAUGGCGGCGCUGUCUCCACCCGAGACUCAGUGAAAUUGAAAUCGCUGUGAAGAUGCAGUGUAUCCGCGGCUAGACGGAAAGACCCCGUGAACCUUUACUAUAGCUUUGCACUGGACUUUGAAUUUGCUUGUGUAGGAUAGGUGGGAGGCUUUGAAGCGUGGACGCCAGUCUGCGUGGAGCCAACCUUGAAAUACCACCCUGGCAACUUUGAGGUUCUAACUCAGGUCCGUUAUCCGGAUCGAGGACAGUGUAUGGUGGGUAGUUUGACUGGGGCGGUCUCCUCCUAAAGAGUAACGGAGGAGUACGAAGGUGCGCUCAGACCGGUCGGAAAUCGGUCGUAGAGUAUAAAGGCAAAAGCGCGCUUGACUGCGAGACAGACACGUCGAGCAGGUACGAAAGUAGGUCUUAGUGAUCCGGUGGUUCUGUAUGGAAGGGCCAUCGCUCAACGGAUAAAAGGUACUCCGGGGAUAACAGGCUGAUACCGCCCAAGAGUUCAUAUCGACGGCGGUGUUUGGCACCUCGAUGUCGGCUCAUCACAUCCUGGGGCUGAAGCCGGUCCCAAGGGUAUGGCUGUUCGCCAUUUAAAGUGGUACGCGAGCUGGGUUUAGAACGUCGUGAGACAGUUCGGUCCCUAUCUGCCGUGGACGUUUGAGAUUUGAGAGGGGCUGCUCCUAGUACGAGAGGACCGGAGUGGACGAACCUCUGGUGUUCCGGUUGUCACGCCAGUGGCAUUGCCGGGUAGCUAUGUUCGGAAAAGAUAACCGCUGAAAGCAUCUAAGCGGGAAACUUGCCUCAAGAUGAGAUCUCACUGGAACCUUGAGUUCCCUAAAGGGCCGUCGAAGACUACGACGUUGAUAGGUUGGGUGUGUAAGCGCUGUGAGGCGUUGAGCUAACCAAUACUAAUUGCCCGUGAGGCUUGACCAUAUAACACCCAAGCAAUU
RNAcentral lists this ribosomal RNA (3093 nucleotides) under Pseudomonas amygdali pv. morsprunorum. RNAcentral describes it as "bacterial LSU rRNA". It matches the Rfam family "Bacterial large subunit ribosomal RNA". The record is from RNAcentral. Lineage: Bacteria; Pseudomonadati; Pseudomonadota; Gammaproteobacteria; Pseudomonadales; Pseudomonadaceae.